This 224-nucleotide ribosomal RNA is filed under the name uncultured bacterium. RNAcentral's name for it is "partial 16S ribosomal RNA". It matches the Rfam family "Bacterial small subunit ribosomal RNA", at positions 524 to 747 of the family's 1533-position model. The record is from RNAcentral.
UACGUAGGGUGCGAGCGUUAAUCGGAAUUACUGGGCGUAAAGCGUGCGCAGGCGGCUUUGCAAGACAGAUGUGAAAUCCCCGGGCUCAACCUGGGAACUGCAUUUGUGACUGCAAGGCUAGAGUACGGCAGAGGGGGAUGGAAUUCCGCGUGUAGCAGUGAAAUGCGUAGAUAUGCGGAGGAACACCAAUGGCGAAGGCAAACCCCUGGGCCUGUACUGACGCU